RNAcentral lists this long non-coding RNA (375 nucleotides) under Mytilus galloprovincialis (Mediterranean mussel). Lineage: Eukaryota; Metazoa; Mollusca; Bivalvia; Mytilida; Mytilidae. The record is from RNAcentral.
AUGCAUCGAACUCGAAAGUUGUCUAUUGAUGCAAACUUUUAUCCUUAUUAUUACAAUCAUUGCAUGAUCAUAUUAUAUUUAAUUUAAUCUUUAGUUAUCGUAAUGUCAAGUGUUAGUAUUACUUUUAUGUUUUGUAGAAAACGUGAAGUAUACUAAAUUUUAAUCGGAGUGAGCAUAAUUAUGUAUGCUGCAUGCCUUUUCUUCCAAAAAAGGUACAUACAUGUAAUAUCUUAAUUCAUUGACUUUCGUCCAGUUUACAAUUUUGUGAUUGAUUUUUACUAUUUUUAUUAUUGUUGUUUUUAUUGUUUUAGAUAAUACAAUAUAAAGCUUUGUUAUGAAACUAAUGCGUUUAAUUGGGUAAAGAACGAAUAAAAU